Molecule: ribosomal RNA, 100 nt
Filed under: uncultured bacterium
Lineage: Bacteria
Description: partial 16S ribosomal RNA
Rfam family: Bacterial small subunit ribosomal RNA
Source: RNAcentral
CCAUGCCGCGUGGGUGAUGAAGGCCCUAGGGUUGUAAAGCCCUUUCGGCGGGGAAGAUAAUGACGGUACCCGCAGAAGAAGUCCCGGCUAAACUUCGUGC